AUUGAACGCUGGCGGCAGGCCCAACACAUGCAAGUCGAGCGGAUGAAGGGAGCUUGCUCCUGGAUUCAGCGGCGGACGGGUGAGUAAUGCCUAGGAAUCUGCCUGGUAGUGGGGGAUAACGUCCGGAAACGGGCGCUAAUACCACAUACGUCCUGAGUGUGAAAGUGGGGGAUCUUCGGACCUCACGCUACCAGAUGAGCCUAGGUCGGAUUAGCUAGUUGGUGGGGUAAAGGCCUACCAAGGCGACGAUCCGUAACUGGUCUGAGAGGAUGAUCAGUCACACUGGAACUGAGACACGGUCCAGACUCCUACGGGAGGCAGCAGUAGGGAAUAUUGGGCAAUGGGCGAAAGCCUGAUGCAGCCAUGCCGCGUGUGUGAAGAAGGUCUUCGGAUUGUAAAACACUGUAAGUUGGGAAGAAGGGCAGUAAGUUAAUACCUUGCUGUUUUGACGGUACCAACAGAAUAAGCACCGGCUAACUUCGUG
RNAcentral lists this ribosomal RNA (484 nucleotides) under uncultured bacterium. RNAcentral describes it as "partial 16S ribosomal RNA". It matches the Rfam family "Bacterial small subunit ribosomal RNA", at positions 30 to 507 of the family's 1533-position model. The record is from RNAcentral.